Molecule: ribosomal RNA, 301 nt
Filed under: uncultured bacterium
Lineage: Bacteria
Description: partial 16S ribosomal RNA
Rfam family: Bacterial small subunit ribosomal RNA
Source: RNAcentral
CAGCAGCCACGGUAAUACAGAGGAUGCAAGCGUUAUCCGGAAUGAUUGGGCGUAAAGCGCGCGCAGGUGGUUUAAUAAGUCUGAUGUGAAAGCCCACGGCUCAACCGUGGAGGGUCAUUGGAAACUGUUAAACUUGAGUGCAGGAGAGAAAAGUGGAAUUCCUAGUGUAGCGGUGAAAUGCGUAGAGAUUAGGAGGAACACCAGUGGCGAAGGCGGCUUUUUGGCCUGUAACUGACACUGAGGCGCGAAAGCGUGGGGAGCAAACAGGAUUAGAUACCCCAGUAGUCCCUGUCUCUUAUAC